Molecule: ribosomal RNA, 406 nt
Filed under: uncultured bacterium
Lineage: Bacteria
Description: partial 16S ribosomal RNA
Rfam family: Bacterial small subunit ribosomal RNA
Source: RNAcentral
AUUGAACGCUGGCGGCAGGCCUAACACAUGCAAGUCGAACGAGUGGCGGACGGGUGAAUAAUGUCUGGGAAACUGCCUGAUGGAGGGGGAUAACUACUGGAACCGGUAGCUCAUCCAGCAUACCAUCAGAUGUGCCCAGAUGGGAUUAGCUAGUUGGUGGGGUAACGGCUCACCAAGGCGACGCUCCCUAGCUGGUCUGAGAGGAUGACCAGCCACACUGUAACUGAGACACGGUCCAGACUCCUACGGGAUGCAGCAGUGGGGAAUAUUGCACAAUGGGCGCAAGCCUGAUGCAGCCAUGCCGCGUGUAUGAAGAAUGCCUUCGGGUUGUAAAGUACUUUCAGCGGGGAGGCGUUACCCGCAGAAGAAGCACCGGCUAACUCCGUGCCAGCAGCCGCGGUAAUAC